UGUGUUAUAUUCCAGACUGGCCUCAAAUCUUAUGUCUCUGCAUCUUCCCGUGCCCUGAUCCUUCCUUAUCUCCACCUCAGAUAACAGUUGUUUGGCACCAGGCCCAGCAGGUCUUGGCUUCUUAAAGAUGAAGAUAAAACUCACUUUCUUAGCAGAUCUCUAACAACUCAAACAAAAUCAUUAAAGAUUUUAUUGAUGAAGAAAAUAUUCCCAGAUGAUAAGAAGAACACUGGGUUAUUAUCGCCUUCCAUAGUCUGUGGCCAAGUGGUACAGGAUUAAGGGUCCCUACCCUGUAAUAGGAGCAUCCUUCUUCCCCUGGGUUCCAGCUGGCUUUACACUCAACAAGAACACUACAUACCACUCACAGAAGAAAUGGCUGGAAACCCAUUUUUUUUUUUAAGAGAAAAAAAAUCCACAGCAAAACCGAAAAUUGACAAGACAAAGGAACUCAGAGGUCAUGUUCCAAGAGGUUCUGUAUAGCUUCCUAUACAAACAUGCCAGUCACCUGCAAAACCUCCAUCUGUCACCAAAAUUAACUGAGCACCAGGAUGGGGACAUUCUAAGGCUCUGGGUGCCUGUCCUUGUGGUUUGAAUGGGAAAUGCACCGCAUAACCUCACAUGUUUAAGCACUCCAUCCACAGCUGGUGGUACUAGCCUGAACGGUUAUGGAACCUUUGGGAUAUACGUUCAGCUGGAAGAUGUAAGCCAUUAAGGAUAUGCCUCAGUGAGUUAUUAUACCUGUCUCCAGUUCCAGUUCACUCUCUGCUUUCUGUCCUCACACUAAGAUAUGACCAGCAGCCUCAAGCUCUAUGACAUAAGCCACUCUCACCUCCCAACCCUGCCAACAAGAGCUCAAAGUCACCACAGCCUUGAACCAUCCAUUUCAAAUGCAUUGCUAGGCAGCUCUGAAAAAUCCUGAAGGCUAAUUCAGACUUUAGGAGUCUUAAUUAUAUGGAGCAUCUAGAAGAUAUCAACCUCACUUCCAAUACUUUUGUAUUUCUGUGAGUAUGGAGGGAACACUGAGUAGAAGGGGUGUGAUGUGCAUACAACAUAUAUAUGCAGGGAAUUCCCAGCCUGGUUUGGUUGGUGCCCCAACCCCAAACCCACCCUUCACAGAGCUGUUAAAAGUAUCUGAUAAAGGUAACAGCAGGUUCACCUGUCACAUCAGACUCCAGCUUAAUUUUUAACGCCUUCACACUAAGCCUUGUGAUCUGAAAAAUCAACGUCAUCAUCACAGGAAGUCUUCGACCCUGCCCUUGACUUCCUGACUCCCAGCUGGCCUUGAAGGAGGUGCCCUGAAGCAGGUGUCCAAGCUCAUCUGUUUGCAUAUACAAGCUUGAGAAGCAGGGCUUGAGAAGAUAUAUAGGGGACAGCAUGCUCUCCUGCUUAAGCAUUUCAGCUGUUGAAGGCUGCAGAAAAUUUAGUCAGUAAUAAAUUAAUCAUUCCUGGA
Long non-coding RNA from Peromyscus eremicus (cactus mouse), 1450 nucleotides. RefSeq lists it as uncharacterized. The record is from RefSeq and is a predicted model, not a curated record. Lineage: Eukaryota; Metazoa; Chordata; Mammalia; Rodentia; Cricetidae. The transcript is spliced from 6 exons.